Non-coding RNA from Schistosoma rodhaini, 48 nucleotides. NCBI's taxonomy places the organism in Eukaryota, Metazoa, Platyhelminthes, Trematoda, Strigeidida, Schistosomatidae. The record is from Rfam.
AUUUAGCUGACGAGUCCUAAAUCGGACGAAACGCGCGUCAAACUGGAU